Molecule: ribosomal RNA, 403 nt
Filed under: uncultured bacterium
Lineage: Bacteria
Description: partial 16S ribosomal RNA
Rfam family: Bacterial small subunit ribosomal RNA
Source: RNAcentral
AUUGAACGCUGGCGGCAGGCCUAACACAUGCAAGUCGAGCGAGCGGCGGACGGGUGAGUAAUGUAUGGGGACUGCCCGAUAGAGGGGGGUAACUACUGGAAACGGUGGCUAAUAACGCAUACUAUCGGAUAACCCAUAGGGGAUUAGCUAGUGGGUGGGGUAAUGGCUCACCUAGGCGACGAUCCCUAGCUGGUCUGAGAGGAUGAUCAGCAACACGGGGACGGGGACAAGGCCCAGACUCCAAGGGAGGCAGCAGUGGGGAAUAUUGCACAAUGGGCGAAAGCAUGAUGCAGCCAUGCCGAGUGUAUGAAGAAGGCCCUAGGGUGGUAAAGUACUUUCAGUCGGGAGGCGUUACCGACAGAAGAAGCACCGGCUAACUCCGUGCCAGCAGCCGCGGUAAUAC